GAUGAACGCUAGCUAUAGGCUUAACACAUGCCAGUCGAGGGGAAACGGCAUUAUGUGCUUGCACAUUUUGGACGUCGACCGGCGCACGGGUGAGUAUCGCGUAUCCAACCUGCCCUUUACUUGGGGAUACCCCGUUGAAAGACGGCCUAAUACCCGAUGUAAUUCAUUGAUGGCAUCAGAUAUGAAUAAAAGAUUUAUCGGUAAAGGAUGGGGAUGCGUCUGAUUAGCUUGUUGGUGAGGUAACGGCUCACCAAGGCGACGAUCAGUAGGGGUUCUGAGAGGAAGGUCCCCCACAUUGGAACUGAGACACGGUCCAAACUCCUACGGGAGGCAGCAGUGAGGAAUAUUGGUCAAUGGGCGCAAGCCUGAACCAGCCAAGUAGCGUGCAGGAAGACGGCCCUAUGGGUUGUAAACUGCUUUUAUACGAGAAUAAUUUGAUGCACGUGUGCGUUAUUGCAUGUAUCGUAUGAAUAAGGACCGGCUAAUUCCGUG
Molecule: ribosomal RNA, 492 nt
Filed under: uncultured bacterium
Lineage: Bacteria
Description: partial 16S ribosomal RNA
Rfam family: Bacterial small subunit ribosomal RNA
Source: RNAcentral